RNAcentral lists this ribosomal RNA (506 nucleotides) under uncultured bacterium. Its description in RNAcentral is "partial 16S ribosomal RNA". It matches the Rfam family "Bacterial small subunit ribosomal RNA", at positions 29 to 523 of the family's 1533-position model. The record is from RNAcentral.
AUCGAACGCUGGCGGCAGGCCUAACACAUGCAAGUCGAACGGCAGCACAGAAGAGCUUGCUCUUUGGGUGGCGAGUGGCGGACGGGUGAGUAAUGUCUGGGAAACUGCCCGAUGGAGGGGGAUAACUACUGGAAACGGUAGCUAAUACCGCAUAACGUCGCAAGACCAAAGUGGGGGACCUUCGGGCCUCACACCAUCGGAUGUGCCCAGAUGGGAUUAGCUAGUAGGUGGGGUAAUGGCUCACCUAGGCGACGAUCCCUAGCUGGUCUGAGGGGAUGACCAGACACACUGGAACUGGGACACGGUCCAGACUCCUACGGGAGGCAGCAGUGGGGAAUAUUGCACAAUGGGCGAAAGCCUGAUGCAGCCAUGCCGCGUGUAUGAAGAAGGCCUUCGGGUUGUAAAGUACUUUCAGCGGGGAGGAAGGCGGUGAGGUUAAUAACCUUGCCGAUUGACGCUACCCGCAGAAGAAGCACCGGCUAACUCCGUGCCAGCAGCCGCCGUAA